Electrophorus electricus (electric eel) is the source of this 2058-nucleotide non-coding RNA. Lineage: Eukaryota; Metazoa; Chordata; Actinopteri; Gymnotiformes; Gymnotidae. The record is from RefSeq and is a predicted model, not a curated record.
ACAAGCAGAGAAAGAAACACAGAGAGACAGACAGCCAGAGCAUCAGCAGGAACACCACAGUGUGAGAGCUCCACACAGUGACAAUACGAUCGUACCAGACUUAUGUAACAGCACUGCCUGCAUGUUUCUCUUCUAGCCGACGACCAGCAUGGUAUUUUGGCUUACUGGGACUGAGCUGAGCAUAGGUCAGAACUUCCCAGAAGUAUAAACACAAAACCACAAGAAAACAAGACUGGAUACUGAGCAUAAUGAAUAUGCCAAGACCUCCCUUGGGUAACUUUACUCUUCCACUGAGUCGCUGGAGCUGGCUGGGCCAAAAACUAUUUGCUCUCCUUUGAGCUGGAAGAAAAUGGAGUAGUGCAGUCCUGCUGACUUACUCAGUUUAAACACAAUGCCAAGUAAUACUUUAUUUUAUUUUAUUUGAAUGACAUGUUUAUGCAUAUGUCUUAACUUUUUUUAAUAAUCAAAGUAAAUGCAUUUAAGUACAUAUUUUUGUAUUGACAAUUCACUUAUCCAGACAUGGUCAUUAAAAUAACUGAAUUAAAGAUACUGCUUUCUCUGCGUCUAAACAGCUCUGGGCUCUGUAAUCAGCAACUAAAAUGUAAUACAGAUAUGCUGUAUUGACCACUUUGAAAACUUCUCUACAAGAAGAUGGAUGCAGCAAAAAGAAAUGUAGACUAAAUGCUAAUCAUACAUGUUAUUGGAAGGAGCAGCUUUGGAGAAAGGUUUGGAUGGAGGCUGUGAGGCUAAAAGGGAGGGGGCUGAGGUAACAGGAACUCUAACAUUGAUUACAGAAGACUUUAAAGUACUUAAAGUAUGUACAGCAGUGAAAAAAAAAAACAUUCAAGGAGUAAGUUUUCAUAUCAUUACAAAACAAGUGAAUUACAAAUGUAGUAAAUAAAUAACCUUAUGAAGCACAUCAAGCUCCGUGAAGGAUGACUUGCCACAUGAUUGUUGUUAAUGUUCUCCGUUGUUGAAUUCCUCUCAUGAUAGAACAGGAAAAAUAUAAAACUGUGCAAGUACUAUGGUUCCCCAAAAUGAAGCAGAACCCUUAAAUUUUAUGUGCUUUUUCACAUGUGAAGUCAAGAAAGUAGCCACAAUUUCAUGAGCACUGUUUGGUGAAGAUCAUAGAUUAAGUAUGUAAAUCAAGUAUUCCUACCAUUAAGACCAUUACUAAAAUGCAGAUAUAUUUGAUUGGAAGAGGAAAGCACUCAUUUCAAUACCCUCCUUAUUCUCCAGACACCCAAACAUCUCCACUAGUUUGUGAAAAUAUACCAAGUACCUUUCCAUUGUGUAUUGUUCCUUUCAAACUAAACCAUCUUAAAUGCGCUUUUCUUAGCUAUCUUGGCAGUAGAAUCAUUUUGGCUGUGUGGCAUGCCAAACUCCUCAGAAGUGCGAGUGCAGUAAUUGCUUGUAAAUGAAAAAUUGUUUUACACUCAGUGGGGCCAUGUUGUGGUCCCGAGGCUAGGCACUCAUGAAAUGGAGCUCCAAAACUGUAUGAUGCAAUUUAACUACACAGUCAGCAAACAAGAGAAAGGCAAUGAGAAAUAUAUGCUUUGACAUAAAUAAUCAAUUAUACACAACUUCUACAUACAAGGGACUCAUUAGUUCUAAUGAAUAACAUUAGAAAUGCAAUUGCAUUUAACGCAUUUGAGAAAUUCCAAACUAUGCAGUCUAUCUUUAAAUAUAUACCAUUAUAUUUUAUUUUUCAUAUUAUUUAAUGAAGGCCUUUACCUUUGUGAUUGAUGGCAUCAACAGCACAUCACUUCCACCUAGUGGGCAAACAACAAAUAGAAGUCUUAUCUCUACAAGUAACCUAACAGAAGACAAAAGCACAAUGAUCAAUUCCAGAAUGGGUUUAUUGAAAUAUAAAGCACUGACAGAUGCAGAUCAACCGCCAAAAAAUAACUGAUAUGUUUGUGGGCAGACCUAUUGCACAAUGCAAAUAUUGUUACUAGUGGAUGAUAGAAAAAAAAUGAGAAAGGCACUUCUGUCUUCAGGUCUGGGAACUGACAGGUUAUCAAUAUAGGCACUUUUUAUGCAUCAACACAAUUUUUU